GACGAACGCUGGCGGCGUGCUUAACACAUGCAAGUCGAACGGAAAGGCCCCUUCGGGGGUACUCGAGUGGCGAACGGGUGAGUAACACGUGAGUAACCUGCCCUUGACUUCGGGAUAACUUCAGGAAACUGGGGCUAAUACCGGAUAGGAAUCCUUGCUGCAUGGUGGGGGUUGGAAAGCUUCGGCGGUUUUGGAUGGACUCGCGGCUUAUCAGCUUGUUGGUGGGGUAGUGGCUUACCAAGGCUUUGACGGGUAGCCGGCCUGAGAGGGCGACCGGCCACAUUGGGACUGAGAUACGGCCCAGACGCCUACGGGAGGCAGCAGUGGGGAAGAUUGCACAAUGGGCGGAAGCCUGAUGCAGCAACGCCGCGUGCGGGAUGACGGCCUUCGGGUUGUAAACCGCUUUCAGCAGGGGCGAAGCUUGUGGUGACGGUACCUGCAGAAGAAGCACCGGCUAACUACGUG
This 465-nucleotide ribosomal RNA is filed under the name uncultured bacterium. RNAcentral describes it as "partial 16S ribosomal RNA". It matches the Rfam family "Bacterial small subunit ribosomal RNA", at positions 28 to 507 of the family's 1533-position model. The record is from RNAcentral.